GAUGAACGCUGGCGGCGUGCCUAAUACAUGCAAGUCGAGCGAACAGAUGAGGAGCUUGCUCCUCUGACGUUAGCGGCGGACGGGUGAGUAACACGUGGAUAACCUACCUAUAAGACUGGGAUAACUUCGGGAAACCGGAGCUAAUACCGGAUAAUAUAUUGAACCGCAUGGUUCAAUAGUGAAAGACGGUUUUGCUGUCACUUAUAGAUGGAUCCGCGCCGCAUUAGCUAGUUGGUAAGGUAACGGCUUACCAAGGCAACGAUGCGUAGCCGACCUGAGAGGGUGAUCGGCCACACUGGAACUGGGACACGGUCCAGACUCCUAAGGGAGGCAGCAGUAGGGAAUCUUCCGCAAUGGGCGGAAGCCUGACGGAGCAACGGCGCGGGGGUGAAGAAGGUCUUCGGAUCGUAAAACUCUGUUAUUAGGGAAGAACAAAUGUGUAAGUAACUAAGCACGGCUUGACGGUAACUAAUCAGAAAGGCACGGCUAACUACGUG
This 497-nucleotide ribosomal RNA is filed under the name uncultured bacterium. RNAcentral's name for it is "partial 16S ribosomal RNA". It matches the Rfam family "Bacterial small subunit ribosomal RNA", at positions 28 to 507 of the family's 1533-position model. The record is from RNAcentral.